This 62-nucleotide transfer RNA is filed under the name Heliconius melpomene (postman butterfly). Its description in RNAcentral is "tRNA HMEL003465". It matches the Rfam family "tRNA". Rfam says of the family: Transfer RNA (tRNA) molecules are approximately 80 nucleotides in length. Their secondary structure includes four short double-helical elements and three loops (D, anti-codon, and T loops). Lineage: Eukaryota; Metazoa; Arthropoda; Insecta; Lepidoptera; Nymphalidae. The record is from RNAcentral.
GAACGCAUGGCUUAGUGGUUAAAGUGCUUGUACAGGCGCGGGUUCAAAUCCCGUUACUUUUU